RNAcentral lists this ribosomal RNA (253 nucleotides) under uncultured bacterium. RNAcentral's name for it is "partial 16S ribosomal RNA". It matches the Rfam family "Bacterial small subunit ribosomal RNA", at positions 524 to 776 of the family's 1533-position model. The record is from RNAcentral.
UACGGAGGAUGCAAGCGUUAUCCGGAAUUAUUGGGCGUAAAGAGCUCGUAGGCGGUCUGUCACGUCGGCUGUGAAAACCCGAGGCUCAACCUCGGGCCUGCAGUCGAUACGGGCAAACUAGAGUACUGCAGGGGAGACUGGAAUUCCUGGUGUAGCGGUGAAAUGCGCAGAUAUCAGGAGGAACACCGGUGGCGAAGGCGGGUCUCUGGGCAGUAACUGACGCUGAGGAGCGAAAGCGUGGGGAGCGAACAGG